RNAcentral lists this ribosomal RNA (912 nucleotides) under Curreya pithyophila. Its description in RNAcentral is "eukaryotic LSU rRNA". It matches the Rfam family "Eukaryotic large subunit ribosomal RNA", at positions 38 to 967 of the family's 3401-position model. Lineage: Eukaryota; Fungi; Ascomycota; Dothideomycetes; Pleosporales; Cucurbitariaceae. The record is from RNAcentral.
GCAUAUCAAUAAGCGGAGGAAAAGAAACCAACAGGGAUUGCCCUAGUAACGGCGAGUGAAGCGGCAACAGCUCAAAUUUGAAAUCUGGCUCUCUUUGGGGGUCCGAGUUGUAAUUUGCAGAGGAUGCUUUGGCAUUGGCGGCGGUCUAAGUUCCUUGGAACAGGACAUCACAGAGGGUGAGAAUCCCGUACGUGGUCGCCUGCCUUUGCCGUGUAAAGCUCCUUCGACGAGUCGAGUUGUUUGGGAAUGCAGCUCUAAAUGGGAGGUAAAUUUCUUCUAAAGCUAAAUACUGGCCAGAGACCGAUAGCGCACAAGUAGAGUGAUCGAAAGAUGAAAAGUACUUUGGAAAGAGAGUCAAAAAGCACGUGAAAUUGUUGAAAGGGAAGCGCUUGCAGCCAGACUUGCCCGCAGUUGCUCACCUAGGCUUUGGCCUGGGGCACUCUUCUGCGGGCAGGCCAGCAUCAGUUUGGGCGGUUGGAUAAAGGCCUCUGUCACGUAUCUCCCUUCGGGGUGACCUUAUAGGGGAGGCGCAAUGCAACCAGCCCGGACUGAGGUCCGCGCAUCUGCUAGGAUGCUGGCGUAAUGGCUGUAAGCGGCCCGUCUUGAAACACGGACCAAGGAGUCUAACAUCUAUGCGAGUGUUUGGGUGUCAAGCCCGAGCGCGCAAUGAAAGUGAACGGAGGUGGGAACCCUUUGGGUGCACCAUCGACCGAUCCUGAUGUCUUCGGAUGGAUUUGAGUAAGAGCAUAGCUGUUGGGACCCGAAAGAUGGUGAACUAUGCUUGAAUAGGGUGAAGCCAGAGGAAACUCUGGUGGAGGCUCGCAGCGGUUCUGACGUGCAAAUCGAUCGUCAAAUUUGGGCAUAGGGGCGAAAGACUAAUCGAACCAUCUAGUAGCUGGUUCCUGCCGAAGU